This 497-nucleotide ribosomal RNA is filed under the name uncultured bacterium. RNAcentral's name for it is "partial 16S ribosomal RNA". It matches the Rfam family "Bacterial small subunit ribosomal RNA", at positions 28 to 507 of the family's 1533-position model. The record is from RNAcentral.
GACGAACGCUGGCGGCGUGCCUAAUACAUGCAGGUUGAGCGCUGAAGGUUGGUACUUGUCCCGACUGGCUGAGCAGCGAACGGGUGAGUAACGCGUGGGGAAUCUGCCUUUGAGCGGGGGACAACAUUUGGAAACGAAUGCUAAUACCGCAUAAAAACUUUAAACACAAGUUUUAAGUUUGAAAGAUGCAAUUGCAUCACUCAAAGAUGAUCCCGCGUUGUAUUAGCUAGUUGGUGAGGUAAAGGCUCACCAAGGCGAUGAUACAUAGCCGACCUGAGAGGGUGAUCGGCCACAUUGGGACUGAGACACGGCCCAAACUCCUACGGGAGGCAGCAGUAGGGAAUCUUCGGCAAUGGACGAAAGUCUGACCGAGCAACGCCGCGUGAGUGAAGAAGGUUUUCGGAUCGUAAAACUCUGUUGGUAGAGAAGAACGUUGGUGAGAGUGGAAAGCUCAUCAAGUGACGGUAACUACCCAGAAAGGGACGGCUAACUACGUG